GCUGGUUGCCUGUGAACGAAUCUAAGUUCCCCCUUAAUUUUACGCCCAAAGACCCAACUUACUCCCCCGUACUAAAUUAAGAGUAAUUUAAAGGAGGUACAGCUCCUUUAAAAAAGAAUACAACCUCCCCCAUAGGAUAAGCACCCAUUUCACACACCUGUAGGCCUUCAAGCAGCCACCAAUAAAGAAUGCGUCAAAGCUCUUAACCCCUAAAAAUCCAAAAACAUACGCGACUCCCUCCCCCACAACAGGCCAACCUAUCACAAAUAGGAGCAUUAAUGCUAGAAUAAGUAACUAAGGAACAACCUUCUAAAGCACAAACUUACAUCACACAUUAUUAACAAACCAACUAAUACCCUAACUGUCACAAGACCAAGUAUUUAACACAACCCUGUUAAACCAACCCAGGAGUGCCCAAUUAGAAAGAUUUAAACCUGUAAAAGGAACUAGGCAAACCCAAGGCCCGACUGUUUACCAAAAACACAGCCUUCAGCAAACCAAGUAUUGAAGGUGACGCCUGCCCAGUGACACAAAGUUCAACGGCCGCGGUAUCCUAACCGUGCAAAGGUAGCGCAAUCAAUUGUCUCAUAAAUCGAGACUUGUAUGAAUGGCCAAACGAGGUCUUAACUGUCUCUUACAGGUAAUCAGUGAAAUUGAUCUCCUCGUGCAAAAGCGAGGAUAUUCCCAUAAGACGAGAAGACCCUGUGGAACUUAAAAACCAGCGACCACUGCAAACCAAAUCAAAACCUAAUAGGAACACUACCAAAAACAGCUGGUCCGCAUUUUUCGGUUGGGGCGACCUUGGAGAAAAACACAUCCUCCAAAAAUAAGACAAUACCUCUUUACCAAGAUCAACCACUCAACGUACUAACAGUAACCCGAUCCAGUAUAACUGAUCAAUGAACCAAGCUACCCCAGGGAUAACAGCGCAAUCCCCUUCAAGAGCCCAUAUCGACAGGGGGGUUUAC
Molecule: ribosomal RNA, 968 nt
Filed under: Porphyrio alleni (Allen's gallinule)
Lineage: Eukaryota; Metazoa; Chordata; Aves; Gruiformes; Rallidae
Description: partial 16S ribosomal RNA
Rfam family: Bacterial large subunit ribosomal RNA
Source: RNAcentral